Molecule: ribosomal RNA, 453 nt
Filed under: uncultured bacterium
Lineage: Bacteria
Description: bacterial SSU rRNA
Rfam family: Bacterial small subunit ribosomal RNA
Source: RNAcentral
UACGGAAGGCAGCAGUGGGGAAUAUUGCACAAUGGGCGCAAGCCUGAUGCAGCCAUGCCGCGUGUAUGAAGAAGGCCUUCGGGUUGUAAAGUACUUUCAGUCGUGAGGAAGGUGUUAAGGUUAAUAACCUUAGCAAUUGACGUUAGCGACAGAAGAAGCACCGGCUAACUCCGUGCCAGCAGCCGCGGUAAUACGGAGGGUGCGAGCGUUAAUCGGAAUUACUGGGCGUAAAAGGCACGCAGGCGGUUAAUUAAGUUGGAUGUGAAAUCCCCGGGCUUAACCUGGGAAUGGCAUUCAAGACUGGUUAGCUAGAGUCUUGUAGAGGGGGUAGAAUUCCAUGUGUAGCGGUGAAAUGCGUAGAGAUGUGGAGGAAUACCGGUGGCGAAGGCGGCCCCUGGACAAAGACUGACGCUCAUGUGCGAAAGCGUGGGGAGCAAACAGGGAUUAGAUACC